GGGGAAUAUUGGACAAUGGGCGAAAGCCUGAUCCAGCCAUGCCGCGUGUGUGAAGAAGGUCUUCGGAUUGUAAAGCACUUUAAGUUGGGAGGAAGGGCUGUAGGCUAAUAUCCUGCAGUUUUGACGUUACCAACAGAAUAAGCACCGGCUAACUUCGUGCCAGCAGCCGCGGUAAUACGAAGGGUGCAAGCGUUAAUCGGAAUUACUGGGCGUAAAGCGCGCGUAGGUGGUUGGGUAAGUUGAAUGUGAAAGCCCCGGGCUCAACCUGGGAACUGCAUCCAAAACUGCCCGACUAGAGUACGGUAGAGGGUGGUGGAAUUUCCUGUGUAGCGGUGAAAUGCGUAGAUAUAGGAAGGAACACCAGUGGCGAAGGCGACCACCUGGACUGAGACUGACACUGAGGUGCGAAAGCGUGGGGAGCAAAC
Molecule: ribosomal RNA, 425 nt
Filed under: uncultured bacterium
Lineage: Bacteria
Description: bacterial SSU rRNA
Rfam family: Bacterial small subunit ribosomal RNA
Source: RNAcentral